CUAACCCGACACACGCACACAACCCCCUCUCUGCUUUGCCACUGCGGGCUGUGCCUAAAUGGCGGCGGCCGCCUCCAUCCGGGGCUGGGGCCGCUCCCCCCCCCCCCCCCCCCCCCCCCCCCCGCGCCCCCCCCGCCCGGCGGUGACCGUUUCGCUUCCAUUUCCGGGAGGGUUGGAUCUCCCUGUGGGAAGCGGGGCCUGUGCCUGCCUGGGGCGGCUGUCGGUCCGUCCCGGCCGGUGGACGGGGAUGCACCAGGAGUGUUAUCAAACAUUAUGGAACGAUACACGGAUCAUGAGCUGGAGGAGAUGCUGACUUUUCAGAGGCUGAGAUCUUUCAGAGUCACAGGGACUCUUGGCAGAACCUGUUGCUAUCACCACCUCACCCAGGUACUGUGGUUCUGUGUCAUGGUUGGCAGGACACUUUGUGCUGGGGUCACCCUCAGCUUCUAGCCCAUUUUCCCUUGUGGAUUAGCCCCAUUCCUGCUGCGUGCUCCCCAACAGCUUAGGCUUUCUUGAGCCCUGAACAGAGUACUGUGGGACCUUGUCCCCAGGGUUGCCUGAUAGUUCCUAGCAAGUCUCCAGAUCAUUGCUGAAGACUGCGGCCAGGCUACAGAAGUAGAUCACAGCCUUCUGUGUAAAGCAGAUUACAGGCUUCUGCAUCAGAAGUGACCCCUGCCUCCAGGUGCCUAAACUCUUUAAUGGGGAAUUGGUGAGGGUAUGAGUUUUUAUAAAUCAGAUGUGGCUAACCUGCAUCAUCUAGCCAACAGUCAUCAGCUCAGCAGUAAUCUGCUGGCUCUUGGGAGUCUCAGAUUCUACCUGGAUGUCAGCAACAAGGUGAAUAGUGCAGAGGUCUGUCACAGGACCUGUCCAAUUUAACAUUUUUAUCAAUGGUUUGGAGGAGGGAAAAGUGCUUAUAAGGUUUGCAGAUGGUGCCAAAUCAGGUGGUGGUAGAGGCCUAGCAAGUACACUUGAGUGUGGGGCUGCCACCCAGGGGGACCUAGGCAAGCUGCAGGAAUGAGCCAACAGGAACCUUCUGACAUUCAACAGAGUCCUGCACCAGGAAAAGAAAAGAAAAAGAAAAGGAAAAGAAGAAGAAAAGUCAACAGAACAGACUGGAGACUGACUGGCCAGGGAGAAGCUUCUGCUGAGAAGGACCUAGAAGGUCCUUGUAGAUGCUAAACUGCUGUGACCGGCAGCAUGAAAGGCCAAGAGCAUCCUGGGUUAUAUCAAGAGGAGUACAGCCGGCAGAUCAAGGUGAGUGACUGUUGCCUUUCUAAUCAGUGUUAGAGUACACCUAGAAUACUGUGUCCAGU
RNAcentral lists this long non-coding RNA (1313 nucleotides) under Calidris pugnax (ruff). RNAcentral's name for it is "lncRNA (ENSCPUG00000002037.1)". Lineage: Eukaryota; Metazoa; Chordata; Aves; Charadriiformes; Scolopacidae. The record is from RNAcentral.